Molecule: transfer RNA, 80 nt
Filed under: Clostridiales bacterium
Lineage: Bacteria; Bacillati; Bacillota; Clostridia; Eubacteriales
Description: tRNA-Leu
Rfam family: tRNA
About the family: Transfer RNA (tRNA) molecules are approximately 80 nucleotides in length. Their secondary structure includes four short double-helical elements and three loops (D, anti-codon, and T loops).
Source: RNAcentral
GCGGGCGUGGCGGAACUGGUAGACGCGCAAGACUUAGAAUCUUGUCUUCAUUGGUGCAGGUUCGAUUCCUGUCGCCCGCA